AUGCGCGGCAGCAUUGCCGCUGCAGUGAUGCUCGGCGCCGGCCUCCGUGCCACAAUCAGCAGGGCGAUGGCGGCUCUGCUCCGGAUGCUUCGAAUCGCUUCACCAGGCGGGAAGGCGCCAUGGUCGGAGCUCCCGCCGGAGAUGCUGGCACUCGUGCUCUCCCGCCUUCCCACCCACACCGACCGCGUCCGCGUCCGCGCCGUCUGCCAGGCGUGGCGCUCCGCCGCGCGCCUGCAUCCGCUGCCCCCGCCGCUCCCGUGGCUCUUCCUCCGCGGUGACACCUUCGUCACCCUCCCCGACGGCGCACGCCACUGCAUCCGCAGGCCACUCGACUGCAACAGAACGCCCUCAAGUUUCCCCACUGGCAGCAUGCUCUUCCUCGUGUUAGGAGCAAGCCAUGCCCAUGUGCGUGUGCGUGAGCAAGGUGUGUGCAUGCUAGUUAGUUGGCUUAGUGGCCGGCGGGUCUGUGCGUGCUGCAUGUGCGGUGGCGCAUGA
RNAcentral lists this ribosomal RNA (495 nucleotides) under Triticum aestivum (bread wheat). Its description in RNAcentral is "partial small subunit ribosomal RNA". The record is from RNAcentral. Lineage: Eukaryota; Viridiplantae; Streptophyta; Magnoliopsida; Poales; Poaceae.